This is a long non-coding RNA of Peromyscus eremicus (cactus mouse), 520 nucleotides long. RefSeq lists it as uncharacterized. Lineage: Eukaryota; Metazoa; Chordata; Mammalia; Rodentia; Cricetidae. The record is from RefSeq and is a predicted model, not a curated record. The transcript is spliced from 3 exons.
AUGCCCUUUGGGUAGACCACAUGCUUCAUGACAUUCUCUUUUUUAAAUCAGGAGCAAGCAGCACCACUUGUACUUGAACCAUUAUCUCCGAGAGCCGAGCAACAUUCUUCACGAAGAUAAUCAUCCAAGAGAUUGAAUAUCGAAUUGAGAAUCACAGGGUGCAGAAUAUAAAUUAUGGAUCCAGAGAGAGAAUUCAACUUUUCCUCUUGUAAUAAAGCAUGAAGGUGCCUAUUGACACAGGAAAUCACAGCCUAGGGACAAGAAAAAUACAGACAAUUCAAGCAAAAGACCUUCACCAGUCAGGCAGAAGCUGAGUUCUCUAGGUGACUCAAGCUCCAAACCUGUUGGUUUCCACCAGUGUGGUACCUCUCAGUGUUCAUUUGGCAUCAUGAGACCACACUUGCUGGACAAAGCAGGCUGCUAUUAGAAAUGUUGGAUUUCUUCCUGAAAUAACCACAUCCUCAAAAGCAAAGAAAAUACUGGUAAUGGAUUUUUUUGUAAUGGACAAGGUUUUUUUAAA